GAUUAGUCUGGAACUGUUGCAUCCAUGAGCUGACCUAAGGAUAAACCAUGAAGGAGCCUCCCAUGUGCAUUUGGAAUGGAAAAUAUAUAGCAGAAACUAGAAUGACAGCAUUUCCACUACAGCAACCAAGAAACAUCUACAUGAUUUUUCUAAUUAUACCUCUAAAUUUUCACAGAUUUCUGUACUACAAGCCAAUUGAGAUGACAGCAAAGUGCUAGUGGAAGACUCCCAUUUAAAGCUUUACAAGUUUGCGGGAAGAAACACAAUGCUGUCUUGCCUGCUGUUGCCAGGGGUGUAUUGUUCUCAUGUUAAAUUUCUUUUAGAAUCCAUCACCUUGCACCUGGGAAUAUAGUUGCCAAAUAAAGUAAGCACUCCAACCUGAGGAUUAUAUUGUAGAAUAAGAACAGCCAUUAUUUCUGACAAACACAAGUAAUUGUAAACAAAAUGGCCCUGAUGUACUAUUAGAUGAUAUGAAAAUGGCUCUUGACAUAGAAGAUUGAAUAUGGGGAAAGCAUUCAGUAUGUGUAGUGGCAAAUUUAGAAAAAAAAAAAAGUCCUCUACAGCAUGCAUCUCGCAGAUCACAACAACAAUUAAACAUGUUCUUUCAAGUCUGUUCUGUGCAGGGAUAAUUUAGAGGGAUGGAUGGAAGUAAAUUGUUAGUUGUUAGAUUUGGUCAAUUUUGUGUUGUCUUUUUUAUGACAUGCAAUAAGUUAUAGCAUUGUGG
This 724-nucleotide long non-coding RNA is filed under the name Capra hircus (goat). RNAcentral's name for it is "lncRNA (ENSCHIG00000004350.1)". Lineage: Eukaryota; Metazoa; Chordata; Mammalia; Artiodactyla; Bovidae. The record is from RNAcentral.